UGAACCCUGCUUUGUUCGUGAUAGUCGGAAAUAUUUGAGCCAACAAACUCAAAUGAGGAAGAGUUCUGAUCCGGGCAACCGGUUAAUGGAUUCUCCCUACUUGAACCUAAAGGUUCAAAUCUCCUCUCUACACGGCAAAGCGGGGUUUUU
This 150-nucleotide non-coding RNA is filed under the name Candidatus Delongbacteria bacterium. RNAcentral's name for it is "6S RNA". It matches the Rfam family "6S / SsrS RNA". Rfam says of the family: E. coli 6S RNA was the first non coding RNA to be sequenced, but its function was unknown until recently. It consists of 184 nucleotides that fold into an extended hairpin structure with a large single-stranded internal bulge. The 6S RNA specifically associates with RNA polymerase holoenzyme containing the sigma70 specificity factor. The record is from RNAcentral. Lineage: Bacteria; Candidatus Delongiibacteriota.